CAACUGAAGAGUUUGAUCAUGGCUCAGAUUGAACGCUGGCGGCAGGCUUAACACAUGCAAGUCGAGCGGAAACGAUUCUAGCUUGCUAGAAGGCGUCGAGCGGCGGACGGGUGAGUAAUGCAUGGGAAUCUGCCCGAUAGUGGGGGACAACCUGGGGAAACUCAGGCUAAUACCGCAUACGUCCUACGGGAGAAAGCAGGGGAUCUUCGGACCUUGCGCUAUCGGAUGAGCCCAUGUCGGAUUAGCUUGUUGGUGAGGUAACGGCUCACCAAGGCGACGAUCCGUAGCUGGUCUGAGAGGAUGAUCAGCCACACUGGGACUGAGACACGGCCCAGACUCCUACGGGAGGCAGCAGUGGGGAAUAUUGGACAAUGGGCGAAAGCCUGAUCCAGCCAUGCCGCGUGUGUGAAGAAGGCCUUCGGGUUGUAAAGCACUUUCAGCGAGGAAGAACGCCUCGGGAUUAAUACU
RNAcentral lists this ribosomal RNA (468 nucleotides) under Cobetia sp. BMC6. Its description in RNAcentral is "bacterial SSU rRNA". It matches the Rfam family "Bacterial small subunit ribosomal RNA", at positions 1 to 476 of the family's 1533-position model. The record is from RNAcentral. Lineage: Bacteria; Pseudomonadati; Pseudomonadota; Gammaproteobacteria; Oceanospirillales; Halomonadaceae.